This 74-nucleotide transfer RNA is filed under the name Scincella vandenburghi (Tsushima smooth skink). Its description in RNAcentral is "tRNA-Trp". It matches the Rfam family "tRNA". From Rfam's summary of the family: Transfer RNA (tRNA) molecules are approximately 80 nucleotides in length. Their secondary structure includes four short double-helical elements and three loops (D, anti-codon, and T loops). The record is from RNAcentral. Lineage: Eukaryota; Metazoa; Chordata; Lepidosauria; Squamata; Scincidae.
AGGGACUUAGGCUAAACAUUUAAACCAGUAGCCUUCAAAGCUACAACCAAGAGCUAAAAACCUCUUAGUCCCUG